GUCAGAGGCGAUGAAGGGCGUGCUAAUCUGCGAUAAGCGCCGGUAAGGUGAUAUGAACCGUUAUAACCGGCGAUACCCGAAUGGGGAAACCCAGUGUGAUUCGUCACACUAUCAUUAACUGAAUCCAUAGGUUAAUGAGGCGAACCGGGGGAACUGAAACAUCUAAGUACCCCGAGGAAAAGAAAUCAACCGAGAUUCCCCCAGUAGCGGCGAGCGAACGGGGAGGAGCCCAGAGCCUGAAUCAGCAUGUGUGUUAGUGGAAGCGUCUGGAAAGGCGCGCGAUACAGGGUGACAGCCCCGUACACAAAAGCGCAUGUGCUGUGAGCUCGAUGAGUAGGGCGGGACACGUGGUAUCCUGUCUGAAUAUGGGGGGACCAUCCUCCAAGGCUAAAUACUCCUGACUGACCGAUAGUGAACCAGUACCGUGAGGGAAAGGCGAAAAGAACCCCGGCGAGGGGAGUGAAAAAGAACCUGAAACCGUGUACGUACAAGCAGUGGGAGCNNNNNNNNNNNNNNNNNNNNNNNNNNNNNNNNNNNNNNNNNNNNNNGGGCGUUAAGUUGCAGGGUAUAGACCCGAAACCCGGUGAUCUAGCCAUGGGCAGGUUGAAGGUUGGGUAACACUAACUGGAGGACCGAACCGACUAAUGUUGAAAAAUUAGCGGAUGACCUGUGGCUGGGGGUGAAAGGCCAAUCAAACCGGGAGAUAGCUGGUUCUCCCCGAAAGCUAUUUAGGUAGCGCCUCGUGAAUUCAUCUCCGGGGGUAGAGCACUGUUUCGGCUAGGGGGCCAUCCCGGCUUACCAACCCGAUGCAAACUGCGAAUACCGGAGAAUGUUAUCACGGGAGACACACGGCGGGUGCUAACGUCCGUCGUGAAGAGGGAAACAACCCAGACCGCCAGCUAAGGUCCCAAAGUCAUGGUUAAGUGGGAAACGAUGUGGGAAGGCCCAGACAGCCAGGAUGUUGGCUUAGAAGCAGCCAUCAUUUAAAGAAAGCGUAAUAGCUCACUGGUCGAGUCGGCCUGCGCGGAAGAUGUAACGGGGCUAAACCAUGCACCGAAGCUGCGGCAGCGAACGUAUCACCCAAGACAACUUUACGGAGUUGACGAUUGACGGAGCGAAGCGACGUCAAAGCGUUCAUUAAAGUCGAGUUGGCUUAGGGAUACGUUCGUUGGGUAGGGGAGCGUUCUGUAAGCCUGUGAAGGUGUGUCGUGAGGCAUGCUGGAGGUAUCAGAAGUGCGAAUGCUGACAUAAGUAACGAUAAAGCGGGUGAAAAGCCCGCUCGCCGGAAGACCAAGGGUUCCUGUCCAACGUUAAUCGGGGCAGGGUGAGUCGACCCCUAAGGCGAGGCCGAAAGGCGUAGUCGAUGGGAAACGGGUUAAUAUUCCCGUACUUGGUGUUACUGCGAAGGGGGGACGGAGAAGGCUAUGUUGGCCGGGCGACGGUUGUCCCGGUUUAAGCGUGUAGGUGUGUGUUCCAGGUAAAUCCGGUUCACUUUAACACUGAGGCGUGACGACGAGGCACUACGGUGCUGAAGCAACAAAUGCCCUGCUUCCAGGAAAAGCCUCUAAGCAUCAGGUAACACGAAAUCGUACCCCAAACCGACACAGGUGGUCAGGUAGAGAAUACCAAGGCGCUUGAGAGAACUCGGGUGAAGGAACUAGGCAAAAUGGUGCCGUAACUUCGGGAGAAGGCACGCUGACACGUAGGUGAAGUGAUUUACUCAUGGAGCUGAAGUCAGUCGAAGAUACCAGCUGGCUGCAACUGUUUAUUAAAAACACAGCACUGUGCAAACACGAAAGUGGACGUAUACGGUGUGACGCCUGCCCGGUGCCGGAAGGUUAAUUGAUGGGGUCAGCGCAAGCGAAGCUCCUGAUCGAAGCCCCGGUAAACGGCGGCCGUAACUAUAACGGUCCUAAGGUAGCGAAAUUCCUUGUCGGGUAAGUUCCGACCUGCACGAAUGGCGUAAUGAUGGCCAGGCUGUCUCCACCCGAGACUCAGUGAAAUUGAACUCGCUGUGAAGAUGCAGUGUACCCGCGGCAAGACGGAAAGACCCCGUGAACCUUUACUAUAGCUUGACACUGAACAUUGAGCCUUGAUGUGUAGGAUAGGUGGGAGGCUUUGAAGUGUGGACGCCAGUCUGCAUGGAGCCGACCUUGAAAUACCACCCUUUAAUGUUUGAUGUUCUAACGUGGACCCGUAAUCCGGGUUGCGGACAGUGUCUGGUGGGUAGUUUGACUGGGGCGGUCUCCUCCUAAAGAGUAACGGAGGAGCACGAAGGUUGGCUAAUCCUGGUCGGACAUCAGGAGGUUAGUGCAAUGGCAUAAGCCAGCUUGACUGCGAGCGUGACGGCGCGAGCAGGUGCGAAAGCAGGUCAUAGUGAUCCGGUGGUUCUGAAUGGAAGGGCCAUCGCUCAACGGAUAAAAGGUACUCCGGGGAUAACAGGCUGAUACCGCCCAAGAGUUCAUAUCGACGGCGGUGUUUGGCACCUCGAUGUCGGCUCAUCACAUCCUGGGGCUGAAGUAGGUCCCAAGGGUAUGGCUGUUCGCCAUUUAAAGUGGUACGCGAGCUGGGUUUAGAACGUCGUGAGACAGUUCGGUCCCUAUCUGCCGUGGGCGCUGGAGAACUGAGGGGGGCUGCUCCUAGUACGAGAGGACCGGAGUGGACGCAUCACUGGUGUUCGGGUUGUCAUGCCAAUGGCACUGCCCGGUAGCUAAAUGCGGAAGAGAUAAGUGCUGAAAGCAUCUAAGCACGAAACUUGCCCCGAGAUGAGUUCUCCCUGAGACUUAGAGUCUCCUGAAGGAACGUUGAAGACGACGACGUU
This 2821-nucleotide ribosomal RNA is filed under the name Salmonella enterica subsp. enterica serovar Typhimurium. RNAcentral describes it as "bacterial LSU rRNA". It matches the Rfam family "Bacterial large subunit ribosomal RNA". Lineage: Bacteria; Pseudomonadati; Pseudomonadota; Gammaproteobacteria; Enterobacterales; Enterobacteriaceae. The record is from RNAcentral.